AAAUUGGCUGUAAUUGGGCCUGAGGUUACAAAUCCCCCUUUUUGUUUUUAAUUCCUCAAUCUUGAGGGACAUAGGGUGAUGACUGCUCUAGCUUCUUCC
This is a non-coding RNA of Ceratotherium simum simum (southern white rhinoceros), 99 nucleotides long. Lineage: Eukaryota; Metazoa; Chordata; Mammalia; Perissodactyla; Rhinocerotidae. The record is from RefSeq and is a predicted model, not a curated record.